GGACAACACUCCAUCACCUACCCACUAUUCGAGUGUCUUUCCUCCCCAACCUUAUCCCCUUCCGUCUCCUCCCAUCGGCCAAUCUCAGCUCCAAUCUUAUGAUGGAUCGCAGUUUAUGGAUGAUGCUUCUUCAUCAGCAACUCCAUCUCCCCAACAGCCAUCAAGUACUUGGCCUCUUCUGGGUUCCUUCCCCAAGCUUGUUCAAGACUUUGAAAAUUUGAAUUUGAAGAGGAAAAUUUUGGAGAUCCUUGAGGAAUCGAAAUUGAGGGCAAAAAAGUAGAAAGCUUCGACCAUUCCUCCCUAUUUAGAACCUGUGAUGCCGCGAGGAGGUGUUUCGGUACCAAGAGGUCGUCGGGGCCGACCGCCAUCUGCUCACACUGCACGUGGUCGUGGUCGCCGUGGGAGGCCACGCAUGACUGCUGUAACUGCGAUAUCUCCUCUUGGUCCGGGAGGUGGUUUGGCUCUUUGUUGGAAAAAUGAUAUUCAUGUCCGUAUUUUUGGUGCUUGUCUCGGUUUUAUUGAUGCUCUGGAUACAAUCAAAGGCACAACAUUCUGAAUUACUGGUUUCUAUGGUCAUCCUACUACAUCAAAUAAACAUCCCUCUUGGGAGGCUAUUCGUCAAUUAUCUAGUUUGGCAGGCAAUUAUCCUUGGUUCAUUUUCGGUGAUUUCAACGAGAUUUUAGAUGCUUCUGAAAAAUCUGGUGGCUGUCCUCGGCCGCCGAGACAAAUGGAGCUUUUUCAACAAGCUAUUGACGAUUGUGCUCUGCGGCAAUCACAUUUCUCUGGUCCAAUUUACACUUGGAGUAAUGGCUCCAUAGCUGAAAGAUUGGAUAUGGGAUUUUUUAAUGAUCAGGCAGACACACUUUUCCCCAAAGCUCAUCUUAUUCAUCAUGACUUAGGAGCCAGUGACCAUCUUGCUUUGUUCUUUGAUCUUUUUGGACAUGAAUUGCGACCGAAACUGAAGUUUAAAUGAAAAUUUCUCUUUGAGCAGUUCUGGACUCAAGAAUCAGCAUGUGUGGAUAUUAUUUCUGAUGCUUGGUCUUCCUCUAACAAUUUAUCCUUGGAUCAAAAACUUCAUCAUUGUGCUACUGCUCUCCAAAAUUGGAAUCACAAUUCUAUUGGACACAUUCCACAUAAAUUGGCUUCACUUCAUUCAAACCUGCAGAAGUUUCCCAUUGAUGCCUCUUCUCCAUCUGCAAUGCAACAAAGAAAGUCUAUCAAAGCUCAGAUUCAAAAAAAUGGACGUUUUGAAGAAUCCAUGUGGAAACAAAAAUCUAUAAUUGGUUGGCUACGAGAUGGUGACCAAAAUACAAAAUACUUUCAUGCUUGUGCUAAAAGCCGUGGAGCUCUGAAUAAAGUUCGCGGAAUUCAUGAUGCUCAAGGUCAUUGGUGCGAAUCUACAUCUGACAUUCAUUCUGUCUUCCUUUCCUACUUCUCUCAGCUAUACUCUUCCGAGGGUUGUACAAAUAUGCCUGUGGUUUUGUCCUUCAUUCCUUGUAAGGUAACGGCUGCAUGAAAUGCUUCUUUACUUAAGCCAUUUACUC
This is a long non-coding RNA of Argentina anserina (silverweed cinquefoil), 1544 nucleotides long. RefSeq lists it as uncharacterized. NCBI's taxonomy places the organism in Eukaryota, Viridiplantae, Streptophyta, Magnoliopsida, Rosales, Rosaceae. The transcript has 2 exons. The record is from RefSeq and is a predicted model, not a curated record.